AAGCAACACUCUGUGGCAGAUGAUCAACACUGUCUGACACAAUUUGAGCUUGCUACAGCAACAAAGUCUAACCUAUUCCGGUGCUCUCCUCUAUGAGACAAGCCGUUAUAUAGACUCAGACAGC
This 124-nucleotide small nucleolar RNA is filed under the name Myotis davidii. RNAcentral's name for it is "Small nucleolar RNA SNORA28". It matches the Rfam family "Small nucleolar RNA SNORA28". Rfam says of the family: ACA28 is a member of the H/ACA class of snoRNA that guide the sites of modification of uridines to pseudouridines. Lineage: Eukaryota; Metazoa; Chordata; Mammalia; Chiroptera; Vespertilionidae. The record is from Rfam by way of RNAcentral.